Molecule: ribosomal RNA, 301 nt
Filed under: uncultured bacterium
Lineage: Bacteria
Description: partial 16S ribosomal RNA
Rfam family: Bacterial small subunit ribosomal RNA
Source: RNAcentral
CAGUCGCCGCGGUAAUACGAGGGGGGCAAGCGUUGUUCGGAAUUAUUGGGCGUAAAGGGUGCGUAGGCGGUUUGGCAAGUUUGGUGUGAAAUCUUCGGGCUCAACUCGAAGUCUGCAUCGAAAACUGCCGGGCUUGAGUAUGGGAGAGGUGAGUGGAAUUUCCGGUGUAGCGGUGAAAUGCGUAGAUAUCGGAAGGAACACCUGUGGCGAAAGCGGCUCACUGGACCAUAACUGACGCUGAUGCACGAAAGCUAGGGGAGCAAACAGGAUUAGAUACCCCCGUAGUCCCUGUCUCUUAUAC